CUUGUACAAAUAAAAACUGUAACGCAUGCGCUGCUAUGGUAACGUCGUUUAACGUCAACAAACGUCAAUUGCUGCUAAUUGGCCAAAAAAGCAGCGGCAACUGCGGUAGCAAGUGGAGUAUCUCAAAAUGCAGAAUACGCUUAGUGUGCUUGCUGGGUAUGCCCAAAGUAGGGGAGCACGGCCUGCAUUGUUGUAAUUUGAUGCGCAACUUUAUGGAACAGUGAUUUGCUUAAACUGCAGCACUCGACGUCACACAGAAACCUAGCAACGCCCGCACCCAAAGCGAGUAUCUCAAAUCGACUCAGUCGUGAAAUUUCAUUGAUGAAUGCAAUAUCACAAACACAACGAGUUAUUGUGGCAAUAAAACUGAAGAGAAAUUAUUGUGUUUACACAAGAUUUACUGAUAAAUUAGCAGAUUAAAUGAAAAUCCAAUCUACAUUAUUUCCGUGUUUAAUGAAAUUGGAGUAGAGCAACCAAUAAACUAUUUAUUUAUAUUUCAGGAGGAAGUAAGACUCAUUAAGCCAUAUUUUGUCAUCUCAGCGAAAGUGAAGUGCGUGAGAAUAAGUUCAGAUAUUUGUUAUUUAUUCUAAUGAAUACUGUGUUCUGGCAUAUAAAAUUGUUUACAUCACUUGAAUGAAAUUGCCUGUUUCGGUGUUGUUCCUGUUAUUGUUGGCGGUGAUGUUGACGGUUUGCACUGACGUUUAAUGCCGACGCAAUGAAAAUGGUUAAACGAAAUUCAUAGAGAACAAAAGAACAAAAGUUACGUCGACAUGUCACAAAAGUUGAGUUGAGUUAUUGCCACGGCUUCGGCAUCGCUCGACGCUGACAGCUUUUAGUUGCAACAAAAUGCGGCAGCAAAUGAACACAUUUGCGAUUUGCGGCAAUAAAUUCACUUUCAACACCUUUUCUGUGUAAACGAUCAAGUGGCGAUAAAUUAUGAUCAAUGUCACAGUGGAACAUUUUGAAAUAUGCACCGACCCACUCGAUGGCAUGUGCACUGGACAGAUGCACAUUCCAACAAAAUUUACGAAAUAAAAAACUAAAUUUCAGUUGCAGAUAUUGAUUUUUGUUUUUUUAAAAACUAGACAACAAAAUGUGGAAUUUGGAGAACUUGCGAAAGACCACAGAUGCAAAGAAACAGAGAUAUACAACAAAUGAUAUAUUUCUAAAGAUUCCUACGAGCAUAAUAUU
Molecule: long non-coding RNA, 1191 nt
Organism: Teleopsis dalmanni
Lineage: Eukaryota; Metazoa; Arthropoda; Insecta; Diptera; Diopsidae
Exons: 3
Source: RefSeq, a predicted model, not a curated record